UAGUUUAGUGGAGGACUUGUGUUAGGUCAGAGGUUGGACUAGGUGAUCUUGGAGGUCUCUUCCAACCUGGAUGAUUCUGUGAUUCUGUAAUACCAGUUUCUUAUACCCUACAUGAGGCAGAUUCGAGCAUGAGAAGAAAUCAGUGAGGAAGGCUGCAAUGAUGGAAAUUUUGGGCUUAAGGUAAAGGGUUAAGGAUUAAAACAGAUUGAGGGGUAGUUAAAUUUAGGAAAAGGGUUAGGAUUUGGAGUUGGAAUAGGGGUCAAGUUAGGCUUUAAAUUGGCAGUUGGGGUUAAUAAAGAAUUCAGAUUACAGAUAAGGGGCACGAUUAAUUUAGGAUUUGAAGUGAGAAGGCAAGGUAUAGGAUUUUGGAAGCCUGAGAAGCCAACAAAGCUGCAUAGCUGUGGAGGCACUGCACUGAUGCUGUCUGCCAUCCCUGUGACACACCAAGAGGCAGCUGAUGCUGGAGCAGUUCUUGAGCAUCCUGUCCCUGGAGAUGCAGUACUGUGUAUGGGAGUGCAGCCUUAAGACCUGUGCUGAAGCAGUGGCCCUGGCCAAAAUUUUCAUUGCAGGAUGUCCAAUGUUGGCACACAGAUAAUGAUGGAUGGUUGUGAGGGAGUAGGCUUCUCAUCCUUUUAGGUCAGGGCUGUGCAUUAUUACACAGUCCUUACCCUCCCCCAUAGAAUUACAACCAGGUGUAGUAAAGGGUGGCCUAAGAGCUUUUGUGAUUUAAUCUCUCCUCAGACAUCCUUCUAUCCAUGUCCUUCUACCAAGGUUCACCGUAAAAUUGAAAGUGGAAGAACCCAGUGGUUUCCUGGAGAACCACUGGAAAAAUCCCGCUUCCUGUCCAGCCCUCAAAUGAUGGGAUACUGUCCAAGGCAUACACUGGCCUAGGACAACAUGCAUUGUCAAAGAAUAGCCCCAGAGACCCCUAGAGAUGGGUAGCGUGGGCUGCCAAGGGGAAGGACAAGGGCUUGCCCUCAGUGGACUGUGGGGAGAGGGCACAAGAUGGCCAAUAGGAAUGGCUGAUGUUCCAUCACUGCCCAGGAGAGAGACAGGUCUGACCCUGAAACCCUGUCUUUCUCUUCUCCACUCUUUCUUCCUCAGUAUUUUUUUUUACUUCCUCCGUCUCACAUCACCUUCUCUGUUCUGCAGCCUAUGGCAACAUCCCCAUGGGAUGUUUGAAUGAACACCACUCCAGGCCCAAGGUCUGCAGUGCCCCAGGUGAACGGGAAGCAUAUGGACACUGAGCCCUGACACUGUGUCACUCUGCACUGGGGAAGUGGCUGUCACCUGUAUCGGGUUUACCAAUUAAGAAUGAAAACACUUAUUUUUAUUUUUUAUUAUUGUUAUUUUUUUAAUUGGCAGUCAUUUAAAACAGGUGGAGGAAAGAGAGUGCUCUGGGUAACAGAAAUCCUGAGGAGGGGUGCUGACUGAGCAAGAAAGAGCCAAAGAGCUUUGUGUAGUGAGAAGCACUCUAGGAAACUAAGAGAGUUUCCAGGAGGCAUUGUGACAGAGAGGAAAGAAAGGAUGGGUGAGGCCAGAGAGUCAAAAGAAUGCUUGGGGGAACAGUGAGAGAGGGUCUGCAUGGUGUACAGAUUUUGUCAUGAGGUGUAUUUGGUUUAUGAGGCAAAGUUUAAGUAGUGGGGGCUUCAGGGAUAGCCUCUGUGGGAAGUUCAGAAACUGACCCACAUUAGAUAAGAGCCAGUUCCAGCUGGCUCCAAAAGCAACCUGUUGCUGGCAAAAGCUGAGCCAUGAAUGCUGCUGGUUGUGCUGCCACUGUGAAAACAUAGUUAAGGGGAAAAAAAAAAAAAAAAAAAAAAAAAC
Molecule: long non-coding RNA, 1824 nt
Organism: Oxyura jamaicensis (ruddy duck)
Lineage: Eukaryota; Metazoa; Chordata; Aves; Anseriformes; Anatidae
Exons: 2
Source: RefSeq, a predicted model, not a curated record